CAGUGAAGCGAGAAAACCUCUGAUUGGCAGACCGACGAACAGUAGUGGAGGAGGAAUGAAGCAAAUAAGUUUUAAAAGUGUGGACGUGCGAUUUUGAAUAAGGACCCGGGUUCACUUCGCAAUGCUUUGGAUAGUGUUUGAAGCAAGUAUUUGAAGCAAGUAUUUGGAGCAAGCAAUCGAAGUCAGCAUUUGAGGCAGACGUGUGAAACAAGCAUUUGAAGCAAGAAUUUGCAGCAAGCGUUUGAAGCAAGUAUUUGAAGCAAGAAUUUGUCGCAAGGAUUUGAAGCAACCAUUUGAAGCAAGCGUGUGAAACCAGCUUCGAAGCCAAGCGUUUGAAACAAACAUCUGAAG
Molecule: long non-coding RNA, 351 nt
Organism: Penaeus monodon (black tiger shrimp)
Lineage: Eukaryota; Metazoa; Arthropoda; Malacostraca; Decapoda; Penaeidae
Exons: 2
Source: RefSeq, a predicted model, not a curated record